RNAcentral lists this ribosomal RNA (253 nucleotides) under uncultured bacterium. RNAcentral describes it as "partial 16S ribosomal RNA". It matches the Rfam family "Bacterial small subunit ribosomal RNA", at positions 524 to 776 of the family's 1533-position model. The record is from RNAcentral.
UACGUAGGGUGCAAGCGUUAAUCGGAAUUACUGGGCGUAAAGCGUGCGCAGGCGGUUAUGCAAGGCAGAUGUGAAAUCCCCGGGCUCAACCUGGGAACUGCAUUUGUGACUGCACGGCUAGAGUGUGUCAGAGGGGGGUAGAAUUCCACGUGUAGCAGUGAAAUGCGUAGAUAUGUGGAGGAAUACCGAUGGCGAAGGCAGCCCCCUGGGAUAACACUGACGCUCAUGCACGAAAGCGUGGGGAGCAAACAGG